This 438-nucleotide ribosomal RNA is filed under the name uncultured bacterium. RNAcentral describes it as "bacterial SSU rRNA". It matches the Rfam family "Bacterial small subunit ribosomal RNA", at positions 29 to 514 of the family's 1533-position model. The record is from RNAcentral.
AACGAACGCUGGCGGCAGGCUUAACACAUGCAAGUCGAACGCCCCGCAAGGGGAGUGGCAGACGGGUGAGUAACGCGUGGGAACAUACCCUUUCCUGCGGAAUAGCUCCGGGAAACUGGAAUUAAUACCGCAUACGCCCUACGGGGGAAAGAUUUAUCGGGGAAGGAUUGGCCCGCGUUGGAUUAGCUAGUUGGUGGGGUAAAGGCCUACCAAGGCGACGAUCCAUAGCUGGUCUGAGAGGAUGAUCAGCCACAUUGGGACUGAGACACGGCCCAAACUCCUACGGGAGGCAGCAGUGGGGAAUAUUGGACAAUGGGCGCAAGCCUGAUCCAGCCAUGCCGCGUGAGUGAUGAAGGCCUUAGGGUUGUAAAGCUCUUUCACCGGAGAAGAUAAUGACGGUAUCCGGAGAAGAAGCUCCGGCUAACUUCGUGCCAGCAG